RNAcentral lists this non-coding RNA (179 nucleotides) under Anaerolineae bacterium. Its description in RNAcentral is "6S RNA". It matches the Rfam family "6S / SsrS RNA". From Rfam's summary of the family: E. coli 6S RNA was the first non coding RNA to be sequenced, but its function was unknown until recently. Lineage: Bacteria; Bacillati; Chloroflexota; Anaerolineae. The record is from RNAcentral.
GUGGCUCUGCUAUGUUUGUGAUGGUGGACAAAUCGUUCUGAGCCAACAGAUCUCCAUAGGGAUCCUGCGGCGCGGCCGGAAUGCGUUAGCCCGCUGAAGGUAAGGCUGAACGGCCGGCGCGGAACCCACCUGCGUCAGCAGGUUCAGAACAUUCCACCACACGGCAGUGCGGGGCCACC